UUAAGCUACUAAGAGCACACGGAGGAUGCCUAGGCGCUAGGAGCCGAUGAAGGACGUGGCGAACAACGAUACUGCCUCGGGGAGCUGUAAGCAAGCUUCGAUCCGGGGAUGUCCGAAUGGGGAAACCCGACUGGUGUAAUAGCCAGUUACCCGUAUCUGAAUACAUAGGAUGCGAGGAGGCAUACCCAGGGAACUGAAACAUCUAAGUACCUGGAGGAAGAGAAAACAAGAGUGAUUCCGUCAGUAGCGGCGAGCGAACGCGGAACAGCCUAAACCAGAGAGCUUGCUCUCUGGGGUUGUGGGACGUCUCACAUGGAGUUACAAAGGUUUAGAUUAGACGAACAGGUCUGGAAAGGCCGGCCAUAGAAGGUAAAAGCCCUGUAAUCGAAAAUGUGAACCCUCCGAGACGGAUCCCGAGUAGUGCGGGGCACGUGAAACCCCGUAUGAAUCCAGCAGGACCAUCUGCUAAGGCUAAAUACUCCCUAGCGACCGAUAGUGAAGCAGUACCGUGAGGGAAAGGUGAAAAGCACCCCGGAAGGGGAGUGAAAUAGAACCUGAAACCGUGUGCUUACAAGAAGUCAGAGCCCGAUCGAUGGGUGAUGGCGUGCCUUUUGUAGAAUGAACCGGCGAGUUACGUUCCCAUGCAAGGUUAAGGCGAGAAGCCGUAGCCGCAGCGAAAGCGAGUCUGAAUAGGGCGCUUUAGUAUGUGGACGUAGACCCGAAACCGUGUGAUCUACCCCUGUCCAGGGUGAAGGUGCGGUAACACGCACUGGAGGCCCGAACCCACGUACGUUGAAAAGUGCGGGGAUGAGGUGGGGGUAGCGGAGAAAUUCCAAUCGAACUCGGAGAUAGCUGGUUCUCCCCGAAAUAGCUUUAGGGCUAGCCUCGGAAAUUAGAGUCGUGGAGGUAGAGCACUGAUUGGGUGCGGGGCCCGCAAGGGUUACCAAGCUCAGUCAAACUCCGAAUGCCAUAGACUUAUAUCCGGGAGUCAGACAGUGAGUGCUAAGAUCCAUUGUCAAAAGGGAAACAGCCCAGACCAUCAGCUAAGGUCCCCAAGUGUGUGUUAAGUGGGAAAGGAUGUGGAGUUGCACAGACAACCAGGAUGUUGGCUUAGAAGCAGCCACCAUUUAAAGAGUGCGUAAUAGCUCACUGGUCGAGUGACUCUGCGCCGAAAAUGUAACGGGGCUAAACACACCACCGAAGCUAUGGCUUGAUGCUUGCAUCAGGGGUAGGGGAGCGUUGUGUAUGCGUUGAAGGUGUACCGUAAGGAGCGCUGGAGAGUACACAAGUGAGAAUGCCGGUAUGAGUAACGAAAAGAUCAGUGAGAAUCUGAUCCGCCGAAAGCCCAAGGUUUCCUGAGGAAGGCUCGUCCGCUCAGGGUAAGUCGGGACCUAAGGCGAGGCCGAAAGGCGUAGUCGAAGGACAACAGGUUGAAAUUCCUGUACCACCGUAAACCGUUAUGAACGAUGGGGUGACGCAGGAGGGUAGUGACGCGGACUGAUGGAUGUCCGUCCAAGCAGUGAGGCUGAUGUGUAGGCAAAUCCGCACAUCGAUAAGGCUGGGCUGUGAUGGGGAGUGAAAAUUACAGUAGCGAAGGUCAUGAUCUCACACUGCCAAGAAAAGCCUCUAGUCAGGUGAAGGUGCCCGUACCGCAAACCGACACAGGUAGGCGAGAAGAGAAUUCUAAGGCGCGCGGAAGAACUCUCGUUAAGGAACUCGGCAAAAUGACCCCGUAACUUCGGGAGAAGGGGUGCCUCGGUAGGGUGAAUAGCCCGAGGGGGCCGCAGUGAAAAGGCCCAAGCGACUGUUUAGCAAAAACACAGGUCUGUGCGAAGCCGCAAGGCGAAGUAUACGGGCUGACGCCUGCCCGGUGCUGGAAGGUUAAGGGGAGCGGUUAGGGAUUAGUCCCGAAGCUGUGAACCGAAGCCCCAGUAAACGGCGGCCGUAACUAUAACGGUCCUAAGGUAGCGAAAUUCCUUGUCAGGUAAAUUCUGACCCGCACGAAUGGCGUAACGACUUGGGCGCUGUCUCAACGAGAGAUCCGGUGAAAUUUUAAUACCUGUGAAGAUGCAGGUUACCCGCGACAAGACGGAAAGACCCCAUGGAGCUUUACUGCAGCUUGAUAUUGGAUUUGGGUACGAUCUGUACAGGAUAGGUGGGAGCCUUUGAAGCAUGAGCGCCAGCUUGUGUGGAGGCGACGUUGGGAUACCACCCUGAUCGUAUCUAGGUUCUAACCUGGUACCGUGAUCCGGUACGGGGACAGUGUCAGGCGGGCAGUUUGACUGGGGCGGUCGCCUCCUAAAGAGUAACGGAGGCGCCCCAAGGUUCCCUCAGAAUGGUUG
Molecule: ribosomal RNA, 2342 nt
Filed under: Paenibacillus lactis 154
Lineage: Bacteria; Bacillati; Bacillota; Bacilli; Caryophanales; Paenibacillaceae
Description: bacterial LSU rRNA
Rfam family: Bacterial large subunit ribosomal RNA
Source: RNAcentral